Molecule: ribosomal RNA, 486 nt
Filed under: Alteromonas macleodii
Lineage: Bacteria; Pseudomonadati; Pseudomonadota; Gammaproteobacteria; Alteromonadales; Alteromonadaceae
Description: bacterial SSU rRNA
Rfam family: Bacterial small subunit ribosomal RNA
Source: RNAcentral
GACGAGUGGCGGACGGGUGAGUAAUGCUUGGGAACUUGCCUUUGCGAGGGGGAUAACAGUUGGAAACGACUGCUAAUACCGCAUAAUGUCUACGGACCAAACGGGGCUUCGGCUCCGGCGCAAAGAGAGGCCCAAGUGAGAUUAGCUAGUUGGUAAGGUAAAGGCUUACCAAGGCAACGAUCUCUAGCUGUUCUGAGAGGAAGAUCAGCCACACUGGGACUGAGACACGGCCCAGACUCCUACGGGAGGCAGCAGUGGGGAAUAUUGCACAAUGGGGGAAACCCUGAUGCAGCCAUGCCGCGUGUGUGAAGAAGGCCUUCGGGUUGUAAAGCACUUUCAGUUGUGAGGAAAAGUUAGUAGUUAAUACCUGCUAGCCGUGACGUUAACAACAGAAGAAGCACCGGCUAACUCCGUGCCAGCAGCCGCGGUAAUACGGAGGGUGCGAGCGUUAAUCGGAAUUACUGGGCGUAAAGCGCACGCAGGCGG